This is a non-coding RNA of Arachnomyces sp. PD_36, 102 nucleotides long. NCBI's taxonomy places the organism in Eukaryota, Fungi, Ascomycota, Eurotiomycetes, Onygenales, Arachnomycetaceae. The record is from the annotation of a GenBank genome assembly.
GCAACCUUGGCCGAGUGGUUUAAGGCGGUAGAUCUGAGUUGUUAUUCUAACAAUAGAAUCUCUACUAACGAAAGUUGCGUGAGUCGAACCUCACAGCUUGCA